Molecule: unclassified non-coding RNA, 270 nt
Filed under: Hevea brasiliensis (rubber tree)
Lineage: Eukaryota; Viridiplantae; Streptophyta; Magnoliopsida; Malpighiales; Euphorbiaceae
Source: RNAcentral
GAAAUAAGUCACCAAAGAUGGGGCAUACUUUUGAAAUCCAACUCCAUAUUGAAUAAUCGAACUCAAGUAUCAAAGUGUUAAGGCAUAACAAAAAUCGAAUCAAUAUAAAAUUAUCAACACCGAGUAUAGCAUCUGUUCUUUAGAAAUAUUCCAAUCUCAAUGAAAUAUCUGCUCUUAUCAAGUCAUAUUCGAAAUCAAAGCAAUGAAGUCUCAAAUCAAGCAGCAAAGAAUUUGUAAUCGAAAUUAUAGGUCUCACAAUAGAGAUCACCG